UCCAGACUCCUACGGGAGGCAGCAGUGGGGAAUAUUGCACAAUGGGGGGAACCCUGAUGCAGCGACGCCGCGUGAGUGAAGAAGUAUUUCGGUAUGUAAAGCUCUAUCAGCAGGGGAGAAAAUGACGGUACCUGAGUAAGAAGCCCCGGCUAACUACGUGCCAGCAGCCGCGGUAAUACGUAGGGGGCAAGCGUUAUCCGGAUUCACUGGGCGUAAAGGGAGCGCAGGCGGCACGGCAAGUCUGAUGUGAAAACCCGGGGCUCAACCCCGGGGCUGCAUUGGAAACUGCCGGGCUGGAGUGUCGGAGGGGUAAGCGGAAUUCCUGGUGUAGCGGUGAAAUGCGUAGAUAUCAGGAGGAACACCGGUGGCGAAGGCGGCUUACUGGACGACAACUGACGCUGAGGCUCGAAAGCGUGGGGAGCAAACAGGAUUAGAUACCCUAGUAU
Molecule: ribosomal RNA, 446 nt
Filed under: uncultured bacterium
Lineage: Bacteria
Description: bacterial SSU rRNA
Rfam family: Bacterial small subunit ribosomal RNA
Source: RNAcentral